AUAGGAAGUAAUAGGUAGAAAACUAAAAAAAAGAGGAUUGAUUAUGAAUAUAAGUAAUUUGUUGAAAAAGUUAUAGGUAAAUUUAAUCUACUGUAAUUCAUGUGAAGUUUAGUUUUGUAAGGAUAAUGAAAGGAUGCCGAUAGCAUCACUCAUGAGUAAUUUUUUUAAAAAGGACGAACAGAAACCUCGCCGACCCCGAGAGAUACAGUGCUCAAGUAGGAAAUUUAUACCUCGCCGACCCCGAGAGACGAAUUAAAAAUAGCGAAACUUCCUCGCUGGGUAUGGAAAAUCCUCGCAGCAGUUUUUGACUAGGAUCAAGACUUGACUCCCACCCAAGAAUUAAUUAAAUAUAGAAUCAACAGUCCACAUAAUAAUUAAGUUAAUAACAAAAGUUAUGAUAAUUAAACUACCACUCAGAACUAUAUAUAAAAAAGUCACAAGAGCAUGUCUAGUGUUGCAUUGAUUCAUAGAAUCCGAAAACAAACAAUAACGAAUGAUAUUAUAGAGAGAAUAAUCUCUGUUCCCAGAAAAUGAGGCUGGCUGAGACAAAACAUGAGCUUAGAGAAUAUGGGAACCUUAAAAGAUCGACUCGCCAAUUCAGAGUUAGCAGAGUACUUAUAGCUGCAAAACGUGUGCCGUCUGUGAACAAGAAGAAGAAACCAAUAGCGCAGUGCUGUCGGCUGUGCCAUCUUAUUCAUCAGCUGGAGAAGUAGUAAGUAGUAUUGCAUGCGCUUGCUACUUUUAUCAAUUAAUUUUCAUCUGUUUCUGUUUUGUCGUUUAUUUACGGGGAGUUAAUUUUAGUUUAAUUAGGGCAAAGAGUCAUGCACUCGAAGUAGUACCUACUAGGGAUUGAUUGCCAUCCUCACUUCAAAUCACAUAUCUAACUCUCAUGAUUAGCUCAUGGGCUUUUCUGACCCACUCUUUAAGGUUUGCACGUACGCUUUUCUCCCGUGAGCUUCGCUUUUUUCUAUUUUUAGGGAUCUGGUUGAGAGUUAAGAGUUUCAGCUGCCCAUUUGUCCCAUGGCUUCUGUGUUAUUUUUUACUCGCCCCAUCUCAUGCAUCUGCCUUAUUCCAUGAAUGCUAUAAAUCUUUUUUCAACGCUGUAAAAGUGAUUUGUAAUAUUUUCAAAUAGUAAGUUUCCACAAAAGUCUUGCGCACCUGAGCAUAAUUUUAUAUUUGAUGUGGUGUUCAAUAGAUAUGUCUACUUUGGAGUAAGAGAAAUGGGUGCAUUGAAAACUUCUAUAAAUAAAAUCAAGUUUAUUUUACAAAAAAUGAAGAUGCCGCAUCAUAAAUUUGAUAUGACAAACAAGCACAGUUAUAUAAAUUGUCUGGGUUUGAACAUUCUUCUCUUCAUAUUGGCAGUAAUUCAACUGAGCAGCCAUUUGUUUCCUCUUCCCCUCGGCAUAUCAUCUUCCUACUCAUAAUACCAUUGCUGAUUGGGCUACUUCAAGUGGAUUAUCAGAACAAAAGUGUAUCUCCUUUUGAUACGCAUCCUGUAAAUAUGUGGAUUUCCUUUGGAGCAGCUCUCAUUUAUUGUUUGGGACUAGCCAUUAAUGUGGAAUCAAAAGAACACCAAGCAAGUUAUUCCCAAAUCACGAGCCAUGUAAUUCUCAGCUCAGGUGCUCUUGCUUCGGCCUCGCUAGCAUCAGUUUUCUUCCCACGCUUGCUUGGGUGGAUUUGUUUGGCCUUAUGGACACUUUUGCCUAUUACGUUAGGCAGGCGCUUAAUCAAACCAAUGUACCAAUGGCUCAAAUAUGGAAUUUUGCAAUUAGUUUCCCAAGUCUACAACAGAUUUAAUCGAUUCUGGCGUAAUUGUGUUACCUUGAAGAACAAAAACUUGCCCAUGUAAAUUUCUCGAAUGUUGUAAUUAUGAAUAAUAAUAGAUUAAUUGCUACAAUUACUAGAUAAUACUUCUCUUGUAGUUACAUUGCUAUGUUUUACGUGUUGUUGACUUGAUUUUCUAUUACCAAUUAAAUCAUUAAUUAGUAAUAGAAAAUCAAGUCAACAACACGUAAAACAUAGCAAUGUAGUAAAAAUCAAGAAAAAUAAUGAAUAAGGCGAAUUCGGGCAACGAAAUCAAAUUUUUUUCUUGUAGUAGGUAACGGCUCCAGUUCCCGCGAUAAAAGUGGGUUAAAAUCAGGUGGUAUUAACCGUAUCACCUGAAGCAGAUGAUUCUAGCCAAUCAAGAUUGGCAGAAAUCACGUGAUCAACUGAACGACUUCCAUCACCGUUGACUCGUUAACCGACGAUACCCAAACAAAAAGAGAAAAAGCCAGAAGCGUACGUACAUGUCAAAGAAAAUCUGAAGACGGGCGUCAAAGCUCUGGUCCGAAAUUUGCAACCAGAAUUCACGGAGCUCCUCUUUCGUAAUUUUGCCUAUCUUUUGGCCUCUCCGCCUCGCUAACGCAUCAAAUAUCCCCACCGCAAACUCCUUCGAAUCCACCAUCCCUGCUUUACUAUGAAUUAUUUAAUUACAAUUUAGAAUAGGAAAAAUGAAAUUAUAACGAACAAAUCAGUACAGAGAAGAAAAUGAAUCUGAUUAUGGAUCAGUUUUAAUUACUACGUAACGUACCAAUGCAUUCACCGAAAUCUUCCCUCGCAAGCAACCCGUCCUCAGAUAGCGAUUUGAACGUAGACUCAACUAGUCUCCGGAGCUCCUCUGCGUCAGAGGCGCCUGCCGCUUUGCUAAUGAAUCUCAGACCGUUAAGCGCUCUCUUAGCGCCCGAUCUUGUCCGUUGAAGUUUCGCUUUGAUCCUCCUCUCAUCGCGCGCGGACAUCGUCCGUUCCUCAAUAUCCGGCGACGAUCCCGAUCUUAGCCAGCCGAACUUCUGCCGGCUGCCUUGGCUCGACCUCGACACUCGCGCGACAGCAGUUGGAGUGCUCACACUGCACAACAGGACGGCGUCGUCUUCGAGCUCAAUCGUGAGUUCGACUAAGUCCUGCGCUUGCUCCAGCUGGUUGUCCCUACUCAAAUCGUUGAGAAAAAUCGGCAACAUUGCUCCGCCCACGCCGUAGUCACUUGUCCUUCGCGACUGCGGGUCUUCUCAGUCAUCUGGUAAUUCAUACGUGCGGCUGUAAUUCGAUAGAGACCGCAUUUUUCAGGUUAGUAAUUUUAUUUUAUUUUUUCCGUUAGCUUCUGUUUCUUCUUCUCCCGAACCUUUUUGAAUUGAUUUUACGCGGUUUUCAGGCUCAGAAUUAAUAUUAAAAAACACUAUUAGAUAUACAUAUAUAAGACAAACAAAACAACCUCAAGUCUCAACACCUGCGCUGUGCUGUGCUUCGCCUCGUCGUGCUAAUGAGCUCAUAAGGGUGACAACGGCUCCUCUUAGCGGUUAUAGUUACUCCCCUCGCCGACAUAUAAAGCUAACUUUUCAAAAUUAAUGUACUCCGAAAAGCAAGUAAUAACAAGAAAUUUAAUACUUAAGAAAAUAUAAUCGAAAUCAUGGUCGUUGAGAAGAGAACUACAUGCAACAAGAAAUCUAAUACUUCGUUAUAUUUUUUAAAUUAUAACAUUGAAAUUUUUAGUAAAUACUUGUUAUUGUGGGUUAUAAGCUAAAUUGAUUUAGUCAUAUCUUUUUAUGAUGAAAAACAUGUAAGAUCUAUACUUUUUUUGUCAAUAUUAUUAUUUUAAGUCAUAUUUACUAUAUUUUAUCAACUUUUAUUUCAUAAUUACAUAUAUGGCUUAAAACUACAUAACUUCAACACGAAACAUGACCUAAUUUUUAGAUAUAAUAGGGAUGGCAGAGAAAGCCUACCAACCUGACCUAGAGUGGUUAAAUCAUGUUUUAUAAAUAUUCAAGCCAGGCUCAGGUUUCACUUUAAAACCUUGAGUUUGAUCCAAAUGCUUGAGAAAUGUUUUAAAAAUUAAAAAGAUAUAUAUUAUUUUAAUCAAAACACACUUUUUUCAUAUAUUUAACCCACCCAUGACGUAUAAUUAAAUCCUAUGAACCCAACGAUUAAUGCAUAAUCUGAUAAAAACAAUUUAUAAAUUAUAAAUUUGUAGAACAUAAUAAAAAAUUUUAAAGAAAUGUAAAAUGUCAAAGUUGAAUUUUUCAGAUCGGCCCGGUAAAAGCCCAACCCAACAAACACACAUGCUGGGACCAGACUCAAGCUUUACCAAACUCCGCCUGACAUUUUCCCAUUCCCAUGACACAUGAAAGAUCAGUUUGGGAGUCCGACAGAGGUGGUGUUUUUGCCCUAUGGCGCUUUUAUUCACAAAUCCAGCCCAAUUCGACAAUUACCUUUACCUAUGGCUUAUUGGGCAGAAUUUGUUGGGGGAAUUUAACAUAAAAUUUUUAGGUAUCCAACCUAAAAGAUUAGUCUUUCAAGCAGAGUGACCUACCACCUUAUAAACCCAAACAUCUCUCAUUUAUUAGUCAAUGUGGGACAUAACUCAAUAAUAACUCAACAAUCCCCCCCUCGGAUGAACCACCGCCGGACUUCGAUCCUUUCGUCCAACACACCUGACUUGUUCCACCAUCAAAUUUCGGCUACUAGGGUCUAGUUCUGAUACCAGUUGUUGGGGAGAUUUAGCAUAAGAUUUCUAAAUAUCUAACCCAAAAGAUUAGUCUUUUAAGUGAAGUAACCUACUACCUUAUAAACUCAAACAUCUCCAAUUUACUAGCCAAUGUGAGACACAACUCAACAGAAUUUUCUUAAGCUAAAAAUCUUGAAAAUGACCACGGAAAUCAUUUGUAUAUAUGUUAAUUGUCAUGCUUAAACUGAAAUUCAGAUUAGGCGCUGCUAGAACUUGUUCCAAUAAACAUGAGGUGAUGAUAUAUAAUUCGUUUUUAAUACAUUAAAUUUCCUUUGUGGUUGUGUACAAUGGACAGAACUAGAGCCUCGAGGUGCAAAAGCUUGCCCCAAUCGUAUUUGCAUGACAACCGGCCCCAGCAUGCAUAAAAGUUAUAAACUAUCAACUCCCACUUUAUAAUCUAUCUUACUAUCUUUUAGAAAUACACUUAUUAAAAAUAAAAAUAAAAAUAUUAUUUUUCACUUAUUUUAUUCUCUUUCAAGUAUAAUCAUCACCUCCACCACCCAUCUUCAUCAUCAAGAAGUUUAUUACCAUCAUCAGCACUACCACCAAUAUAUGAUGAGUUUCAAUUUUCGAAAUAAACAAGUGUUGGAUUUUAUUAUUAUUAAUGACAUUGGUUUUGAUUUUACAUGAUCAUCUAAAAAUUUGGUUAAUUUCAAUUUAAUUUGGAAUUUGAGUAGGAGUUGUUAUUUGAUUCAAAUGGUGAAUUAAUUGAAAAAUGAGAGAGAUGGCGAAGUUAAUCUAUUGAGAGCAUGAGCAAGAAUGAAAAAUAUUAUUUAUUAUUUAUUAUUUUUAUUUUUUACUAAAUAUUAAUUUUAAAAUUAAUAUCUAUUUAUUGAAAAAUGGUGCAAGUGAAAUAAAUUAACGGAUUGAAUCCACUCUAUGUUGAAUUGCAAAGCAUGUGGUACGCAUGACGAUGAUUCUGCCCGGAGUGGCCCCCGUUGUGGGCGCAAGCAAAUAAUUUAUCCUACAACUAUCAACAGAGUAAAUAUAUUCAUUAAAUAUUAGUGGGACAACUUCGUAUAAAACAAAAAUUUGAGUGGCACCAUAAUAAAGAAAAUAUAAGUUAGUUUCAACAAAUUCCGAACUUGUAAUGUUAUCUUUAUUUUCUGGAGUGGGAGUAAGGAGUGCGGAUUCUUUCUACUCUAGUGUUUACUUUACUAAAUUGAGGAGGGAUUGGAAAUUCUACUCCGUGGGCCUCACCCAUUUUUGGAGUGGAGAGUGGGAAUGAGACUUCCAUUGGAGGAGGUGAGAGUGGGUCAUUUUCUACCCUUGUUUUUAAUUUAAUUCAAUUUAAUGUUUUAUAAUUAAUAAAAUAAAAUAAAUAAUAUUAUUAUAUUUAACUAAAUAAUAAUUUGCAUUGAUUCUAAAUUAAAAUUAUUUAAAAAUAAUAAUAUUAUAUUAAUAGAGAAUUAAUAAAUAUAAUAUUAUUAUAUUUAUUUUAAAAAUAAUAGUACAAUAUUUAUUUAAUAUUAAUAAUUAAUAAUAAUAAAUAGUUUAUUCUAAGAAAAUAUUAAUUUUUUACUAAAUAAUAUUAUAUUAUUAUUUUAUAUAAUAAUAAAUUUAAUAUAAUUAUAUUAUAUUAAAUAAAAUAAAAUAAUGUUUCAUUUUAUAUUAAAAUUAAUAAAAAAUUGUGAUGUUCAUAAUUAAGAAUAUUAAUAAUUAUUAUAAAUUUACAAAUAUAAUAAAAUAAAUAUUUAUUCAUUAAAUAUAUUUUUUAUUAACUUUGUAAUUAAAAAUUAUAAUUCUUUAAAUACGGAUAAAAUUGUAAUUUAAAACUAUUUACUCUCAAUCCAAGACAAAGUAAACACAUAAAUUGUAUUCUGAUUUCCAUUCCAUGCUUUCAUUCCAGUGUAAGUAAACAGCUUACUCUCACUCCCACUCCCACUCCAUACUCUCAAUCCUAGGAUUCCCACUCCAAUCCAAAAAGUAAACGCUACCUAAAUGUUUUAUAUAGUAGAACCUCUAAAUAAAAAUACUUUAUAUAGGAAUAAUUUCUUCAUAGUAAUAAAAAAUUGUAAUCCCAAUUUGUGACUAGUUAUAAUUAGGAAUAAAUUUUAUAUUAUAAUAAGUUAUAUUUUUUUUAGAUCUCAUCUUAAUAAACUUACCUCUAUAUAGUAAUAAUAUUUUAAAAAAUAUAUAUGCCAUGUUGUAUUAAUUAAGUAAGAUGGAACAAAAUAUCUUUCUAAAGUUACUUAUGUUGGGAAAAUAUGCUCUUUAAAAGCAUAUGUGUUUAUUUAAUUGUAAUAAAUAAUUUUUCUGAUUAAUAAAAUAAAUGAGGUAUUUUAUUCAAAUAUCUUAAUUGCAUUAAUAUUUGUAUUAAAGUCCAUUUAAUCAUAUUAUAUGUAUUUAUGUUAUCACCAUGUGGAUUCACAGAAGACAUAAAUACAAGUUAUCUUAUGAUUAAAUAAAUUUAGUUCGCAGUUGAUAAAUAAAGUUGGGCACUUUAUUUAGGUAUAGACUGUAAUAAAUUCAUUGAAUGAUUUGUCUUAAUCAUGUAUGAAUUUAUUGAUGUAGUACGACUACAUUGAACAGGAUCACAUGUGAGAUUUAAUUAACUUUGUAAUAACUGUCAGACUUAUUAAAUCUCAUAGGCAUUGAUUUUACUGUAAUCUUAAUCUUGAGUUAAUUAUGAUUUCAUGAUUGUAAUUGUUAUUCCAUUUGAGUUACCAAUGGACACGACACAUCCUUGUGGUCAAGAUUACCCGAUAUCUUGGUGGGAGCAAUUAUGAGUAUUGGAGUUAUGGAUUAAUAAUAUAGAAUUUGUACAACACAUCUCUUGAUAGGUUUUCGGCACUUGAUCAUAGAAUUCUCUGGCCAGAGUGUGUCAACAUAUUUAGUAUGUUGAAAAUGAUCAUUAGAGAAAACCAGUAAGGAUCAAGGAAUAAGAUGUUAUUAAAUUGAUUGAACAGUUGAGAUAUCAAUUUAAUUAACGAUGUGGUACAAAGGAUUGUGCAGUAAAGAAAUCAAUGUGGCUUGGGACGAAUUAUUAUUCGAGCAUACAAUUAUGGAAGUCAGUUCCAAUCUUUUAGUAGAGUAGAUUUGGAAUUAAAUAAUUGGGCUAGUUUAAUUACAGGCCUAAUUAUUGUAGCCACUAUUGUAUGUUCCCAAAUGAUCCCCGGGUUAGCUCAUUUAAUUGACUGCACCACUACUGGACUAAUAAGUAAGAUAACUAGCUAUUUGGGUCAAAAGCCUAAAUAUAUCAUUUAGUGGGAGGCUCCAUUUAAUUAGCUUUUGUAUAAGGGGCCUUAUGUUAUUUUACAAGGUGGGUCCCCUAUUGAAAAAGAAAAUAACGUGAGUUUUAUUUAGGGCAUUAUUUGGAGCCUAGGGUUUUCACUAAAGGGAGAUAUAUAAGGCUUAUUUUCUCUAAAGAAAAAAAAAGAAGCCACUUUAUACAGAUCAGAGAAUAAGAUUUUUCUCUCUAUUAUUGAGAGAAAAAUUUUCUCGUGCUAGUUGCUUUUGGUAGUGAUAAAGGCGCCCACACGUCAAGUGCAGACAGAAUUUGAGUCAUAACCUGGAAGAUCAUUGGUGACAGUUCGUGAUCAAACAAGCGUGGUGGUGACGGAUCGUGAUCUAACAGGAGUGGUGGUGGCGGAUCGUGAUCUACGAGCCUAAAUCACUUCAGCGGAAAAAGCCAACUCGGAUUUUCAAGGUACGAUUUCUAGAAUACAAAUUCUUAUAUAUUAUAUGAGAGCGGUCCUUAAAAAGUUUUAUAAAAAAUUUAAAAACCUGAUUUUUCCCCAACAACUUAUGACAAUGAUUUGUUCUUUAAAAUUGUAAUCACAUCUUUCAAUUCGCGAUUAUGUAUUAAUUGGCCAAUAUAGACAUCUUCUUGCUUCUCAACUAUGUUUGUAGCUUCCUAGCAUCAAACUUUUUGUAUUAGUUUUUUGAAACUAUUUUUUUUAUUAAUAUCUAUCCAUUGAAUUUGACUCACUUAUUAAUUUAUUAAUACAUGACAUAAUUUACCUUGUAUAUCACUUGCAUUAGGGAUAAUUAAGUAAAGACAAUAGUUUUUGUACUAUACUUCUAUUGAGUUAUAACCUCUUUAUAAGAAUAAAUUAAUUUCUUCAGUCCCAACAAUAUGACUAUAUAAAGAUUUUAUUGUAGUAUACUUAUUCUAAUAUUAGUAUUUAAAAAAAUGUAAUUAGUAAGAAAUAAGCCAGUGUAUGCCCAGUCCCUUGGCACCAACCCGCGCACAAGUUUCAGUCCUAGCCGCGUGCUAAGUCUUCUUCUCCUCCUUAUUAUUGAGUAAAUAUCGCUCCAAUUUGGUGAGAUAUAUCAACAUUGAAAAAAAGAGAGCAAGAUAUUAAAAAAAAAUCACUUCUUAUACAUGUACAUAUAUAAAUUAUCAGGUGCAAAUGUCUUGAUUUUUUUUUCAUUUUAAAUGUUGAUACACUAAUAAAUUAUAUGGUCCUAUAGUUAACUGAAUAACGACUUUGUUAAAGCACAUGAUUUAUUAGUGAAUUGAAACUGACUCUAUUAAAUUAUAUGGCACAUAAAAAAAAAAAAAGAUGACGCCUGUAUGCGAGUUUGACUAUAUAUAUGUGUGUAUAAAAUUAAUUUUUCUAUUUUAAAAUAAUUCUUUUAUUCUGCAAAAAGCUAAGCGCUUGUUAGUUAUGAUCGCAUAGUCUACAGUCGACCUAUAAUCAAUUAUUCACUUCACAAAUACAGUAAUUCGAAAAAAACAAAAAGUCAAACCAUUUCAUUCUUAGAUUUUUUUUUUUUCACAUUGAAUUUAGUAGUACUAGCAACUUGCUUAACGUCUUCGCAUUAGUUUAUUCAUUUUACUUUGCAAUAAGAAGCAGUAUAAUUAGCUAUGUAUUGCCAGCAACUUCCAGACCGUUACAAAAAAUUAUAUAUAUGUUUUUGUAUGUUAAGACCUGUAAUUAAAAUAAGUCAUAUUAGUAAUAUUCUAAGUUGCUAAGCAAUCUUGACUUAGUUUGCAUAAAUUGACUCCAAUUCACUUUGCAUGGGGAGAGAGAAACACAAAGCGAGUCUCAUUUUGCUUUAGAAUUUAAAUGGAAGCACAUUUGUAAAGGAAAUUUCGCUUAUCAAGUGAACAAGUCGGUGGCCAGAGCUAUCGAAAUUCAAUGUAGGUUUCGGCUUUAUGAUUAUGAUAGGUAUAGGCAACUUACGAAAUAAGCAAAUGAGAAACGCAUAAUUAAGCGCCGCAGCACAAUUGGAGUAGAAGACAUCACAACAUUCCUGAAUUUUUCUUUUUGUUUUGCUUGAAUAUUCUCAAUCAUGUCUAUAAAAUCACCUUAAUUUUGUUAUAAACUAAUAUAUUUGAUAUUGUUUGAGAAAGAGUAUUAAAAGAGUUGGGGAUAUUCAACUGUCACUAUGAGUUAUAAUCUUCAAUAAUAUACAUAAUAGAAUUAAAUUAUAUAAGUUAUGGUGAAGUCAGUUAUUUUAAUCUCUAAAAUUUGUCGGUGAUUUCUGUUUUAAUUUACAUGUUCAAUUAGGAUCUAUUUGCUUUUUUUUUUAAUUUUCCAUUUCAAUUGUCUAUAAUUGAUUGUACAAAAAAUUAGAGUUACAAUAAUUUUAGCGGGUAAUAAGAUAAAUAAUUAUUUUGUAAUAAUAUGCUAUUUUUCAUUAUAUUACGUAUGUCCACUAGUAUAUUUGCUACCUAGAUUCGUGCAACUACAAGGACAUAUUUAAAUUUUCAUAGAGCUAUUCGACAUAAAUUCUUUUUAAAAGAAAAUGUUGAGCUAACCAGUGCUAAAUUUUUUAUAAUCUCAACUCACAAAUACAUCCAUAACAUUAAACAGUUAAUUUCGUAUUAUUCUCAACUCAAAAGUAAAUCUAAAUCUAUCCAUAUCCAUGUGUGAAAAAAUAAAAAGGAAUAAAACCAACAGUCAAACAUUUAUCCAAUAUUAGAUGUCGCAGGGACAUAUAUGGUUCAAUUUCCUUGAAUGACUUUACAUCGAGAAUUAAUCUAAUUAAUAAGAAAGAAUUUGACAUAAAGGAUAUUUUCGUUUUAAAAACAUAAAAUAGCAAAAUUAAAAUUACUCUUAACUGAGAGAAAACCAACUAUUAAUUGUGAUGUGAAUAGUAUAUGUAUAUGCUUAUAAAUUUGGGAUAUAAAAUUUGUAUUCUAAAGUAUUUGUUACAUGGUGAUUGAUGUGUUAUUUAUUUAUUAGUACUGUAAUAUUAUCACAUUAAUAAUAAAAUAAAAAUAAACUAUAACAUUUAUUAAUUGGUAACAUGUCAUCUCAAAUACAAACUUUUUACAUGGAAGAAGUAUCAUUAUUAUUGUUAUUAUUAUUAUUUUUAAUGAUUAUUUUUAUGAUUUACCAACUCCAAACCGUAACUAAAACAAAAUCCAAGGGAACUCACAAGCUAGGGGACCCUUUAAUUUGUUGUAUCAAUUAGAGUGGUUGACGUUGACGUUGACGCACAGCGAUUGUUUCAAAAAAAUUAUACGAAAGCUCUAAGAACCUUAAUUAUAGUUGAAAAAAAUUCACUCCCCCAAUAAAUUAAUUAUGACCUCACUUAAGGAAAUACUCCGCGUAAGGAGAGAAUCGUAAGCAUCGAUCCUAUGUAAUUUAGCAAAAUUUUCAUACAUUGCGGCCAAAUAAUUUGUCAAAGGAAAAGGUGACAGCUGCGGCUUGAGAGAAGAAUAUGACAUGUAUGACACCAAUGACACAAUCAAAUGAUGGAUUGUGUCCAUUUUUAUUAUUGAUGAUUAAUUGUCAAUUCAUAUAAAAAUUGAUUUCCUCAAUUUUUAUUAAUUAAUCAUGAUCCUCAAAUUAUUUUAAUUAUAUUAUUUUUUUAUGUUUAAAAUACUUGUAUAUAUUGAGUCUUUUUGCCCAUAAAUGAAUGUCGUUUCUUAAAAGUUUUCAAUAUAUCUAUGUAUAUCUUUGUCUGGAUGCCUAGGUAGCUGCUCCAAUUCUGAAAUCAACGGCCAAAUCUCACAUCAAGGAAAUUCAGCUUGUCAAUAAUAAUAAUAUAAGCAUGAAGCUACGAUUUAAUGCAAGUUUAAUCACUGGAUGAUACAUUUAUGAUUUGAUGGAAAAAAUAUGGAUAGAGCAGAUACAUCCUCCUCAAAUUAGAGAGUAGAUAUAUAUUAAUAAAGAAAUAAAAAAUUUGGACUAUACUAUAAUGAAACCCCAUUUUCAUAUAUAUAUAGUAGAUAUAUAUAUUGGCACCCCUUCAAUCUCCUUAUGAAACCCCAUUUUUAGUUAUAUUUAUUUUAUUUUCGAAAAUGUCAUUUUUUUUUAAAUACACUUUUUAUUUUUCAUUUAAUUUUUUUUAUUGUUAAAACUCAAAGUAGCAUUGUGCUAUUUUUUUUAUUUCUUUUGCAAUCUUAUUUUUGCCUUACACAUAAAAUAAAAAAAAAAUUUGGAUGAUAAAUUUUUAAAUGUUAAUCAUUGACUUAAAUUAUAAAUAUUUUAAAUUAUAAUUUAAAAGCAAUUUUAAGUACAAAAAUAUUUAAUCAAUAAGAAAUAUGAAAAGAAUAAUAGACUAAUCUAAAUUUAUUUAAGUUAGAUAGGAAGUAACAGGUACAAAAUUAAAAAAAGAGGAUUGAUUAUGAAUAUAAGUAAUUUGUUGAAAAAAUUCUAUGUAAAUUUAAUUUACUGUAAUUCAUGUGAAGUUAAGUUUUUUAAGGAUAAUGAAAGGAUGCGAUAGCAUCACUCAUGAGUAAUUUUUUUAAAAGGACGAACAGAAACCUCGCCGACCCCAAGAGAUAAAGUGCUCAAGUAGGAAAUUUAUACCUCGCCGACCCCGAGAGACGAAACUUCCUCGCUGGGUAUGGAAAAUCCUCGCAGCAGUUUUUGACUAAGAUCAAGAUCGACUCCCACCCAAGAAUUAAUUAAAUAUAGAAUCUACAGUCCACAUAAUAAUUAAAUUAUAGCAAAAGUUAUGAUAAUUAAACUACCACUCAGAACUAUAUAUAAAAAAGUCACAAGAGCAUGUCUAGUAUUGCAUUGAUUCAUAGAAUCCGAAAACAAACAAUAAAGAAUGAUAUUAGAGAGAGAAUAAUCUCUGUUCCCUGAAAAUGAGGCUGGCUGAGACAAAACAUGAGCUUAGAGAACAUGGGAACCUUAAAAGAUCGACUCGCCAAUUCAGAGUUAGCAGAGUACUUAUAGCUGCAAAACGUGUGUCAUCUGUGAAUAAGAAGAAGAAACCAAUAACUCAAAGCUGUCCUCAGUGCCAUCUUGUUCAUCACCUGCAGAAGUAAGUAGUAUUGCAUGCGCUUGCUACUUUUAUCAAUUAAUUUUCAUCUGUUUCUGUUCUGUUGUUUAUUUAUGGGGAUUUUAUUUUAGUUUUAUUAGGGCAAAGAGUCAUGCACUCAAAGUAGUACGUACUAGGGCUUGAUUGGCUGAUUGCCAUCCUCACUUCAAAUCACAUAUUUAACUCGCAUGAUCAGCUCUUGAACUUUUCUAACCCACUCUUUAAGGUUUGCACGUAGAACUUUUCUUUUUUUCCAUUUUUAGGGAUUUGGUUGAGAGGUAGAGUUUCAGCUGCCCAUUUGCCCCAUGGCAUCUUUCUUAAGUUUUAGCAGUCCAUUUGUCCCAUAGCUUCUGUGUUAUUUUUUCAGCUGCCCACUCGGCCCAUGGCAUGCAUCUGCCUUAUUCCAUGAGAAUAAAAAGUAGAGUUUUAGCAAGUAAUAUAUAUACAUACGUACGUACGUACGUACAUACAUACAUACAUAUAUAUAUAUAUAUAAAUGUUCCAGUCCGGAAUUUUAAAGUGCGGAAACCUUUAAAACCGCAUGUUUUUAAAGGCUUAAACCGUAAGCCUUUAAAGUUGUGCUGUUUUAAAGUUUUUUCGGACUUUCACGUACUUUAAAAUACCUGACCCUGAAAACUACUAUAUAUAUAUAAUCAUUCUCUAAUGCGGACGCCCUCAUUUAUUUUUCAUGCGGAUACACUUUAAAAUCUCGUGGUUUAAAAGUGUAUCUGCAUUAAAAGAAAUGCGGGCAUCCACACUUAAGAAUGUAUAUAUAUAUAUAUAUAUAUAUAAAAGACGCUAACAAACACUUUUACAUCGCUAUAACAAGUUUUUACAAUGUUAUAAAUGUUUUUACAACGCUGUAAAAGUGAUUUGUAAUGUUAUAAAAUAGCAAGUUUGCACAAAAAUCUUGUGCACCCGAGCACGAUUUUAUAUUUGAUGUGAUGUUCAAUAGAUAGGUCUAAUUUGGAGUAAGUGAAGUGGGUGCAUUGGAAACUUCUAUAGAUAAAAUCAAGUUUAUUUUACAAAAAAUGAACAUCCGGUAUCAUAAAUUUGACAUGAAAAGCAAGCAAAGUUAUAUAAAUAGUCUGGGUUUGAACAUUCUUCUCGUCAUAUUGGCAGUAAUUCAACUGAGCAGCCAUUUGUUUCCUCUUCCCCUCGGCAUAUCAUCUUCCUACUCAUAAUACCAUUGCUGAUUGGGCUACUUCAAGUGGAUUAUCAGAACAAAAGUGUAUCUCCUUUUGAUACGCAUCCUGUAAAUAUGUGGAUUUCCUUUGGAGCAGCUUUCAUUUAUUGUUUGGGACUAGCCAUUAAUGUGGAAUCAAAAGAACACCAAGCAAGUUAUUCCCAAAUCACGAGCCAUGUAAUUCUCAGCUCAGGUGUUCUUGCUUCGGCCUCGCUAGCAUCAGUUUUCUUCCCACGCUUGCUUGGGUGGAUUUGUUUGACUUUAUGGACACUUUUGCCUAUUACGUUAGGCAGGCGCUUAAUCAAACCAAUGUACCAAUGGCUCAAAUAUGGAAUUUUGAAAUUAAUUUCCCAAGUCUACAGCAGAUUUAAUCGACUCUGGCGUAAUUGUGUUACCUUGAAGAACCAAAAUUUGCCCAUGUAGAUUUCUCAAUUGUUGUAAUUAUGAAUAAUAAUAGAUUAAUUGCUACAAUUACUAGAUAACACUUCUCUUGUGGUUACAUUGCAAAAGUCGGGGGACUUCGCAUUUCACGAAUCAACAACCCACACUACGUAAUUUUGUAGUUGGAAAGGGAGAUUAAAUUAAGCCUAUACCCCCUUAAUAAAUUAAUUAUGACCUCACGUAAGGAAAUAUUCCACGUAAGGAGUGAAUUGUAAGCAUCGAUCCCAUCUAACCGAGCAAAAUUUUCACACAUUGCGGCCAAAUAAUUUGUCAAAUAAAAAGGCGACAGAUGCGGCUUGAGAGAAGAAUAUGACAUAUAUGAUACCAAUCCAACAAUCAAACAAUGGAUUGUGUCCGUUUUAAAUAUUGAUCAUAAAAGAUUAAUUGUCAAUUAAUAAAAAAAUUAAUUAACUCAAUUUUUGUUAAUUAAUUAUGAUCCUCAAAUUCGUUUAAUUAUAUUAUUUUUUAUAUUUAAAACACUUAUAUAAAUUGAGUCUUUGCAGCAAAAAUUAAUAUCGUUUCUAAAUCGUUUUCAAUAUAUCUAAAUAUAUGUUCCUCAGAAAUGCAAAGUAGCUUGAGAGGCUUCAGUGCAUGGAAAAUCUAGUAAACACCAAGAUCAUAUAAUGUUGUUGCUCACUCUAUAGCAAAGGUUGCCUUAGAGAAGUGUAAAACUGUUGUAUGGGUAGAUUCGUACCCCUCAGAAGUUAUGGAAUUAUUUAACUCCUUGAAUGAAUGAAAACCACUUUUCUUCUCAAAAAAAAAAAUAUAUAUAUAUGUUCCUCACGACGCCUAGCUAGCUGCUCCAAUUCUGAAAUCAACGGCCAAAUGUCACAUCAAGGGAAAUUCAGCUUGUCAAUUAUAAUAUAGGCAUGAAGCUAUGAUUUGAUGCAAGUUCAAUCAUUGGAUGAUACAUUUAUGAUUUUAUGGACAAAAUAUGCAUAGAGCAGAUACAUCCUCCCCCAAAUUAGAGAGUAGAUAUAUAUUAAUAAAGAAAUAAAAAAAAUUUGGGUUAUACUAUAAUGAAAUUGAUCUAAGUUAAUUUUACUGUUAAUAUAAUUAAGUAGAUUUAUGAUUGUAAUUAGGAAACAUAUAAGUAUUGAGUUGGAUUGUAGGGGACCUCUUCAAUCUCCUCAUGAAACCUCAUUUUCAGUUAUUUAUUUUAUUUUUGAAAAUGUUCUUUUUUUUAAACACACUUUUAAUUUUUCAUUUAUAUUUUUUUAUUGUUAAAACUCAAAGUAGUAUUGUGUUACUUUUUAUUUUUUUUACAAUAUUAUUAUUACAAUACAAUUAAAUUAGAAAGUUUUUGGAUGAUGAAUUUUUGAAUGUUAAUUAUUGUCCGUUGACUUAAAUUAUACAUAUUUUAAGUACAAAAAUAUUUAAUCGAUAAGAAAACCGAUUAAUCUAAAUUUAUAUAAUUUAUUUUAAUUAGAUAAGAAGUAAUAGGUAGAAAAUUAAAAUAAAAAAGAAUUUAUUAUGAAUGUUAAUAAUUUGUUAGAAAAAAAAAUUUAUGUGAGUUCAAUUCUUAUGUGUCCUUCACUCUAAUUUAUAUGAAGUGGAAUCUUGUUAAGGAUAAUGAAAAGGUGCCAAUAGUGUCACUCAUAAGUUCUCUUUUUUCUUUUUUCUUUUUUUUUAAAAGAACGAACAAAACCUCGCCGACCUCGAGAGAGAAAGUGCCAAAGUUGUAAAUCCGAGAGAUCAGGCGCUCAAGUAAAAAGAUUAUAAAUUAAAAAAUACGAAACUUCCUCGCUAGGUAUGGAAAAUCCUGGCAGCAGCUUUUGACUAGGAUAAAAAUCGGCUCCCACUCAAGAAUUAAUUCAAUAAUGAUAUAGCACAUAUUUUUUAAAAAACUUAUCUUAUACAAAUUGAUGUGACAUGAUAAAAUUGAUUGAAUUAAAUAUCUCUUGUCUUAUAUCAUUUAUUUUUAUUAUUUUGUAUUUUCAUUCAAUCAAUUAAUUAAUGCCACACAUUUUGUACAAGAUAAGUUUGUUUGUAUUAUCACUUGAAUUAAUUAAAUACAAAAUCAACAUUCUAUAUAAUAAAUAAAUAAAUAGCAAAAGUUAUAAUUAAACUAACACUUAGAGCUAUAUAUAUAAAAAAAGUCACAACAACAUGUCUAGUGUUGCAUUGAUUCAUAUAAUCCGAAAACAAAUAAUAACAGAGGAUAUUAUGGAGAGAGUAAUCUCUGUUCCCUGAAAAUGAGGCUGGCUGAGACAAAACAUGAGCUUAGAGAACAUGGGAACCUUAAAAGAUCGACUCGCCAAUUCAGAGUUAGCAGAGUACCUAUAGCUGCAAAACGUGUGUCGUCUGUGAAUAAGAAGAAGAAACCAAUAACGCAAAGAUGUCCGCAGUGCCAUCUUAUUCAUCACCUGGAGAAGUAAGUAAUAUUGCAUGCACUUGCUACUUUUAUCAAUUAAUUUUCAUCUGUUUCUGUUUUGUUGUUUAUUUAUGGAGGAUAUUAUUUUAGUUUAAUUAGGCCAAAGAGUCAUGCACUCGAAGUACUACGUACUAGGGAUUGACUGCCAUCCUCACUUCAAAUCACAUGUCUAACUCUCAUGAUUAGCUCUUGGACUUUUCUGACCCGCUCUUUAAGGUUUGCACGUAGCUUUUCUCCCAUGAGCUUUUCUGUUUUCUAUUUUUAGGGAUCUGGUUGAGAGUUAGAGAUUCAGCUGCCCAUGGAUUCUGUGUUAUUUUUUACUCGCCCCAUAUAAUGCAUCUGCCUCAUUCCAUGAGAAUAAAAAGAAGAGUCUUACUAUUAUUAGUUUAUUAUUAUUAAAUAUGAACUUAAAUUUUAAAUUUUUUAUUCUAUUAAAUUUGAAUAAAGACACAUAAACUUAAAAAAAAAUACAUAGACUUGAAAAAAGUACGAUAAUAGCUUCGUAUGAACUCUUAAAAAAUUAAAAAAAAAAUUAUUGGACUUUCUCUCUUAGGCAUGGCACGACAUGACCCACAGCACGACACACGUGGCGGAUCGGGCCUAAGAAAAAAAAUUAGACACGGCACAACACAGCACAAAACACAUAGUGAGCACGGCAUGAUACAGGCACGAGCACGCAUGGGUCUUACGUUGGCCAUCUCUAUGCGCACCUGAGCAUAAUUUUAUAUUUGAUGUGAUGUUCAAUAGAUAGGUACACUUUGGAGUAAGAGAAGUGAGUGCAUUGAAAACUUCUAUAAAUAAAAUCAAGUUUAUCUGACAAAAAAUGAAGAUCCCGUAUCAUAAAUUUGAUAUGACAAACAAGCACAGUUAUAUAAAUAGUCUGGAUUUGAACAUUCUUCUCGUCAUAUUGGCAGUAAUUCAACUGGGCAGUCAUUUGUUUCCUCUUCCCCACGGCAUAUCAUCUUCCUACUCAUAAUACCAUUGUUGAUUGGGCUACUGCAAGUGGAUUAUCAGAACAAAAGUGUAUCUCCUUUUGAUACACACGCUGUAAAUAUGUGGGUUUUCUUUGGAGCAGCUUUCGUUUAUUGUUUGGGACUAGCCAUUAAUGUGGAAUCAAAAGAACACCAAGCAAGUUAUUCCCAAAUCACGAGCCAUGUAAUUCUCAGCUCAGGUGCUCUUGCUUCGGCCUCGCUAGCAUCAGUUUUCUUCCCAAGCUUGCUUGGGUGGAUUUGUUUGGCCUUUUGGACACUUGUGCCUAUUACGUUAGGCAGGCGCUCAAUCAAACCAAUUUACCAAUGGCUCAAAUAUGGAAUUUUGGAAUUAGUUUCCCAAGUCUACAACAGAUUUAAUCGAUUCUGGCGUAAUUGUGUCACCAUGAAGAACCAAAACUUGCCCAUGUAAAUUUCUCAAAUGUUGUAAUUAUGAAUAAUAAUAGAUUAAUUGCUACAAUUACUAGAUAAUACUUCUCUUGUAGUUACAUUGCUCACGAAUCAACAAUCCACACUGUAAUAUUGUAGAUGGGAGGGGAGGUUAAAUUAAGCCUAUACCUCCCUAACAAAACUGACCCCAAGGUAUUUUUAUACAAAACAUUAAAUUUUCUUCAUACUUUUCUAACGUUAAUCACCAUAAAUCCCUUUGACGUGGCACUAGAUCAUUGAUUCAUUAAUGGGAAAAUCACUGUAUGCAUAGAACUAUGUUAAUACUAAUACAUAAACGUACGUUACUGGGGUACAUUUUUUGUUUUAUCAAGGGACGUAUUAUCUAUAAAUUGAUAUGUUUUACGUGUUGUUGACUUGAUUUUCUAUUACUAAUUAAAAUAUUAAAUCACAUGUACAAAAAGUGAAAAUGACAAUCCCAGCCAACUGGCGCUCAGUCAGCUCAUAGGAGUGACAACUGCUCCUCUUAGCGGUUAUACCUGGUCCCCUCGCCGACACAAAAAGUUAACUUUCCAAAUUGAUGUACUCCGAAAAGCAAGUAUUAACAAGAAAUCCAAUACUUAAUAAAAUAUAAUCGAAAUCAUGGUCGUUGAAAAGAUAAGUACACGCAUCAAGUUAUUUUUUUUUAUUACACGAGACUAUUGUUUAAAAAUAUAAUU
RNAcentral lists this long non-coding RNA (18805 nucleotides) under Citrus x clementina. RNAcentral describes it as "Citrus clementina (C. clementina) long non-coding RNA (CCLE_LNC000193)". Lineage: Eukaryota; Viridiplantae; Streptophyta; Magnoliopsida; Sapindales; Rutaceae. The record is from RNAcentral.